GAAUGAGUUUCUGACCUAUCAACUCGAGACGGCGGGGUAGAGGCCCGCCGCGGUAACGACGGGUAACGGGGGAAUCAGGGUUCGAUCCGGAGAGGGAGCCCGAGAAACGGCUACCACUUCCAAGGAAGGCAGCAGGCGCGCAACUUACCCUAAUCUCGAUUCGAGGAGGUAGUGAACAAGAAAUACCGAUGCGGGACCCUACGGGUGCCGCGUUCGGAAUGAGUACGAUUCGAACCACCUAACGAGGAACGAUCGGAGGGCAAGUCUGGUGCCAGCAGCCGCGGUAAUUCCAGCUCCAAUAGCGUACGUUAAAAGUUGCUGCAGUUAAAAAGCUCGUAGUUGAACGUUCGGGUUCCGCGGGACGGGGCCGCCCCGCGAGGGACGGCGCCGCCCCGGGGCUCGUGAUAUCUCAUCUCGCCGCCCGUCGCGAGGCGGACGGAGGGAUGGAUGAGGUUACCUGGAAAAAAAUCGGGGGC
RNAcentral lists this ribosomal RNA (476 nucleotides) under uncultured eukaryote. RNAcentral's name for it is "bacterial SSU rRNA". It matches the Rfam family "Eukaryotic small subunit ribosomal RNA", at positions 297 to 774 of the family's 1831-position model. The record is from RNAcentral.